UACAGAGGAGCCAAGCGUUGUCCGGAUUGACUGGGCGUAAAGCGCACGCAGGCGGACGCGCGCGUGGGGUGUGAAAUCUGGCCGCUUAACGGCCAGGCGCCAUCCCAUACGGCGCGUCUGGAGUGAUGCAGAGGUCGGUGGAAUUGCCGGUGUAGUGGUGAAAUGCGUAGAGAUCGGCAGGAACACCCAGGGGGAAACCAGCCGACUGGGCAUCUACUGACGCUGAGGAGCGAAAGCGUGGGGAGCGAACAGG
This 253-nucleotide ribosomal RNA is filed under the name uncultured bacterium. Its description in RNAcentral is "partial 16S ribosomal RNA". It matches the Rfam family "Bacterial small subunit ribosomal RNA", at positions 524 to 776 of the family's 1533-position model. The record is from RNAcentral.